RNAcentral lists this ribosomal RNA (439 nucleotides) under uncultured bacterium. RNAcentral describes it as "partial 16S ribosomal RNA". It matches the Rfam family "Bacterial small subunit ribosomal RNA", at positions 339 to 795 of the family's 1533-position model. The record is from RNAcentral.
CUACGGGGGCUCCAGUGGGGAAUAUUGGGCAAUGGGCGCAAGCCUGACCCAGCAACGCCGCGUGAGGGAAGAAGGUUUUCGGAUUGUAAACCUCUGUCCUUGGGGACGAAGAAGUGACGGUACCCAAGGAGGAAGCUCCGGCUAACUACGUGCCAGCAGCCGCGGUAAUACGUAGGGAGCAAGCGUUGUCCGGAAUUACUGGGCGUAAAGGGUGCGUAGGCGGCAUAUUAAGUCAGGUGUGAAAUACUCGGGCUCAACCCGGGGGCUGCAUUUGAAACUGAUAUGCUUGGUGUGAGAGAGGAAAGUGGAAUUCCUAGUGUAGCGGUGGAAUGCGUAGAUAUUAGGAGGAACACCAGUGGCGAAGGCGACUUUCUGGCUCAUAACUGACGCUGAGGCACGAAAGCGUGGGGAGCAAACAGGAUUAGAUACCCCAGUAGUC